UACGGAGGACCCAAGCGUUAUUCGGAUUUAUUGGGUUUAAAGGGUGCGUAGGCGGAUUGGUAAGUCAGAGGUGAAAUCCCACAGCUUAACUGUGGAACUGCCUUUGAUACUGCCAACCUUGAGUACAGAUGAUGUGGGCGGAAUAUGACAUGUAGCGGUGAAAUGCUUAGAUAUGUCAUAGAACACCGAUUGCGAAGGCAGCUCACAAAACUGUAACUGACGCUGAGGCACGAAAGCAUGGGGAUCGAACAGG
Molecule: ribosomal RNA, 253 nt
Filed under: uncultured bacterium
Lineage: Bacteria
Description: partial 16S ribosomal RNA
Rfam family: Bacterial small subunit ribosomal RNA
Source: RNAcentral